GAUUAGAUUUUAUUUAUUAAUUAAUAAAAUUUUUAUUAUAAAGUAUUAAAAAUAAUUAUAUAAAUUAUUGUUUAAGUAUUGUAUAAAGAAAAAAUAAAUUUAAUUAUAGUGAAUUAGUAUUGUGAAAGAAAAUUGAAAUAUAUUGAAAAAUUUUUAUUAAAAAAGAAAAUUUAAUUUAUUGUACCUUGUGUAUCAGGGUUUAUCUAAUAAAAAAUAAUUUUAUAUUUUUCUCGAUUUUAAAAGAGUUAAUAAAUUAUUAAAGUUAAUGUAGUAAAAUUAUUUUAAAUAAUUUAUUAGAAAUGAAAUGUUAUUCGUUUUUAAAGGUAUCUAGUUUUUUAAGAAAUGAAUUUAAUUCAGAAAUAUUAAAUUUAUUUAGUUAGUUAAAUUAAUUAAAUAUUUUUUUUAUUUUAAUAUUUUAUGGGAUAAGCUGUAAAAUAAAUUUUUAAAAAUAAUUAAUAAUAUUAUUAAAAUAUAUGCUUAGAAUUAGUAAUUAUUAAUAAGUUUGUUAUAAUUUAUUAUAACUUUUAUAUUAUUUAUUAAAUUUUAAAUUUUUAUUAAAAAAUUUAUUUUAAUUUUAAAAAUAAAAAUAUAAUGAUAAGAUUAGUAUAUAUUUUUGUAAAAAUAAAUUUAAAUGAAAAGUUUUUUUAAAGAAUUCGGCAAAUUAAAUAUUCGCCUGUUUAACAAAAACAUGUCUUUUUGAAAUAAUUUUAAAGUCUAACCUGCCCACUGAUAAUAAAUUAAAUGGCCGCAGUAUACUAACUGUGCAAAGGUAGCAUAAUCAUUAGUCUUUUAAUUGAAGGCUGGUAUGAAUGGUUGGACGAGAUAUUAACUGUUUCAUUAAAAUUUAAAAUAGAACUUUAUUUUUUAGUCAAAAAGCUAAAAUUUAAUUAAAAGACGAGAAGACCCUAUAAAUCUUUAUAUUUAGGUUAUUUUAAUUAAAUAGAUAAAUUAAAUUAUAAUAAUUUUAAAUAUUUUAUUGGGGUGAUAUUAAAAUUUAAAAAACUUUUAAUUUUUUUAAACCAUUAAUUUAUGUAUAAUUGAUCCAUUAAUAAUGAUUAAAAAUUUAAGUUACUUUAGGGAUAACAGCGUAAUUUUUUUGGAGAGUUCAUAUCGAUAAAAAAGAUUGCGACCUCGAUGUUGGAUUAAGAGAUAAUUUUGGGCGCAGCCGUUCAAAUUUUAAGUCUGUUCGACUUUUAAAUUCUUACAUGAUCUGAGUUCAAACCGGCGUAAGCCAGGUUGGUUUCUAUCUUUAAUAAAUUAAAAUAUUUUAGUACGAAAGGAUUAAAUAUUUGAAUAAUUAUAUUUUAAAUUAUGAAUAUAAAUAAUAUUAUUA
Molecule: ribosomal RNA, 1333 nt
Filed under: Spelobia clunipes
Lineage: Eukaryota; Metazoa; Arthropoda; Insecta; Diptera; Sphaeroceridae
Description: 16S ribosomal RNA
Rfam family: Archaeal large subunit ribosomal RNA (bases 1079-1238)
Source: RNAcentral